Molecule: ribosomal RNA, 301 nt
Filed under: uncultured bacterium
Lineage: Bacteria
Description: partial 16S ribosomal RNA
Rfam family: Bacterial small subunit ribosomal RNA
Source: RNAcentral
CAGUCGCCGCGGUAAUGCAGAAGAUGCAAGCGUUAUCCGGAAUGAUUGGGCGUAAAGCGUCUGUAGGUGGCUUUUCAAGUCCACCGUCAAAUCCCAGGGCUCAACCCUGGACAGGCGGUGGAAACUACCAAGCUAGAGUACAGUAGGGGCAGAGGGAAUUUCCGGUGGAGCAGUGAAAUGCGUUGAGAUUGGAAAGAACACCAACGGCGAAAGCACUCUGCUGGGCCGACACUGACACUGAGAGACGAAAGCUAGGGGAGCAAAUGGGAUUAGAUACCCCGUAGUCCCUGUCUCUUAUACA